Molecule: ribosomal RNA, 513 nt
Filed under: uncultured bacterium
Lineage: Bacteria
Description: bacterial SSU rRNA
Rfam family: Bacterial small subunit ribosomal RNA
Source: RNAcentral
UUGCUCCUCUGACGUUAGCGGCGGACGGGUGAGUAACACGUGGAUAACCUACCUAUAAGACUGGGAUAACUUCGGGAAACCGGAGCUAAUACCGGAUAAUAUAUUGAACCGCAUGGUUCAAUAGUGAAAGACGGUUUUGCUGCCACUUAUAGAUGGAUCCGCGCCGCAUUAGCUAGUUGGUAAGGUAACGGCUUACCAAGGCGACGAUGCGUAGCCGACCUGAGAGGGUGAUCGGCCACACUGGAACUGAGACACGGUCCAGACUCCUACGGGAGGCAGCAGUAGGGAAUCUUCCGCAAUGGGCGAAAGCCUGACGGAGCAACGCCGCGUGAGUGAUGAAGGUCUUCGGAUCGUAAAACUCUGUUAUUAGGGAAGAACAAAUGUGUAAGUAACUAUGCACGUCUCGACGGUACCUAAUCAGAAAGCCACGGCUAACUACGUGCCAGCAGCCGCGGUAAUACGUAGGUGGCAAGCGUUAUCCGGAAUUAUUGGGCGUAAAGCGCGCGUAGGCGG